RNAcentral lists this ribosomal RNA (692 nucleotides) under uncultured bacterium. RNAcentral's name for it is "bacterial SSU rRNA". It matches the Rfam family "Bacterial small subunit ribosomal RNA", at positions 8 to 722 of the family's 1533-position model. The record is from RNAcentral.
AGAGUUUGAUCAUGGCUCAGAAUCAACGCUGGCGGCGCGCUUAACACAUGCAAGUCGAACGAGAAAGGGAGCAAUCCUGAGUAAAGUGGCGUACGGGUGAGUAACACGUGGAUCAUCUACCCUUUGGUGGGGAAUAACUCUGGGAAACUGGAGCUAAUACCGCAUAAGUCCGAGAGGAGAACGCGUCUCCGUCAAAAGAGACGCGCCGAAGGAGGAGUCCGCGGCUGAUUAGCUAGUUGGUAAGGUAAUGGCUUACCAAGGCGACGAUCAGUAGCCGGCCUGAGAGGGCACACGGCCACACUGGAACUGAGACACGGUCCAGACUCCUACGGGAGGCAGCAGUGGGGAAUCUUGCACAAUGGGGGAAACCCUGAUGCAGCGACGCCGCGUGAGCGAUGAAGCCCUUCGGGGUGUAAAGCUCUUUCGACGGGAACGAUAAUGACGGUACCCGGAGAAGAAGCUGCGGCUAACUACGUGCCAGCAGCCGCGGUAAUACGUAGGCAGCAAGCGUUGUUCGGAAUUACUGGGCGUAAAGAGUGCGUAGGUGGUUUGCCAAGUCCGAUGUGAAAUCUCCCGGCUUAACUGGGAGGGUGCAUUAGAUACUGGCAGGCUUGAGUAUGGGAGAGGAAAGCGGAAUUCCUGGUGUAGCGGUGAAAUGCGUAGAUAUCAGGAGGAACGCCUGUGGUGUAGAC